Cyprinus carpio carpio is the source of this 324-nucleotide long non-coding RNA. Lineage: Eukaryota; Metazoa; Chordata; Actinopteri; Cypriniformes; Cyprinidae. The record is from Ensembl.
AUGAGCCUUCCACUGGCUUCAGUUCACCUUCAGUCUUACGAUAAACCGUUCGUAUCAGUGGAUCGUCCGCCAGCGUUUGCUGAGGCUGAACGUAAAAUAUUCCUACCGGUAAUCAGGCCAUGGCUCGUUAACAAUAAAUCAUGGAGCUAUUAAUAAUCAGAGUGCUGGAAACUGUGACUGGAUUUACCCUGGUCAAGUGGCACAUGUUCCUUAAUGACAUCAUCUAUCAUCCUGCAGGAAGUGACAUUAUUUUGGAGGGAAAUCCACAUCAACCCAGUAGCAGUAAAUGAACCUGGAUCGGACGUCUCACUGCUUCCUUCGGCA